Hirundo rustica (Barn swallow) is the source of this 1187-nucleotide long non-coding RNA. RefSeq lists it as uncharacterized. NCBI's taxonomy places the organism in Eukaryota, Metazoa, Chordata, Aves, Passeriformes, Hirundinidae. The record is from RefSeq and is a predicted model, not a curated record. The transcript has 3 exons.
GGCUGUGAAAAAUUAGGAAAUCUUCUUGACACAGGGAAAUCCGACACUUGUCUGCUCUAACAUCUGUAAGUGCGAAAGAAAGAGGGGGAUAUAUUUUUUUUUCCCCCCUUAAAGGUAAGUCUAUUUUUCUUCUUCUUGCCAGAUAUAAAAAUUGUGGUUAGUGCCUGGAGUAAAGGGCCCUCUAAACUUUAUAGUGUUUACCCUCCAUUUAUAAAUCCAUAAUGAUCUAUUUAAUGAUAUCAUAAGGUUAAAAGUUAAACAGCGCUGUAUUUUCCCUGCCUUUCAGAAAGGCAGGUUUGCCUAUCGCCGGGAGAUGAUCGGUCGGGGUUGUUUUCCGAAGAAGCCUAUAGGUAAAGAGGCAUCCAUACCUUCACAAAGGAGGACUCACGAAGGAAAGGACGAGAAGAUAAAGGUAUUAUUUUGACAUGAUGACCCCUGGAAAAUGUCUUUGACUCAUCCCAAAAGCGACAGCCACCCGCACCCUGCCUUCCCCCUUGCAAAAUACCACAACCAAAAUCACCAGAAAGAAACCCGAGUCAGAGAGAGACCAACAGGUUGUUGCCACUUUUGCUGCCUUUGCCUCUGAGAGAUUGGGUAAAUGCUCUGGCACCUUUCAAACAUUUUCUCAUCUGUGCUGAAUUUCUACUGACAAACCAACUGAUAGAUAUGGACCAAAGGAAUAUUUAUGAUCAUUGAGUAAGGUUUUUGUUUUUUUUUUUUUUACUUAAUCUGAGGCAAUUAGUUCCUGAAUAAACACAGACUAAGUAACCUACCUCCUCAAAAGGUAAUCAGACUUGAAAAGCGCUGUUUGGUUCUACCCAAGAAAAGCACAACUUGAUUAAAACGCUUUGGAGAUUUGCUUUUAUUUCUUCCCUUUUGCCCUGGAAAGCAUUUUAUAACAUCCCAAUAACUUUUAUUUUCUCCCCAUACCAAACCUGGGGCCUCUCUUGGUUGUUGCUGUCCUUUUCCCCCACCUUCCCUAAAUCUUUAACCCCGCUUCUCAUUUUUCUUUGCCUCUAAUCUAAUCACUAAUUCCUCGGUUUGGCCAAAUAGUUAAAAAUGUUAAGUGCUGCUCACAAUUCCUGCUGCCUCCCCCACGUAUCUGUCUCUGUUUAUGGAACAGGCCCUGGUUUCCUCCUGCUCUUGUUCAGCUGUAGGUCUGCAGGUCAGGAGACUGUAAAUACACA